GGAUUAGAUACCCUGGUAGUCCACGCCGUAAACGAUGUGUGCUAGUUGUCAGGAUCUUUAGGUCUUGGUGACGGAGCGAAAGUAUUAAGCACACCGCCUGGGGAGUACGGCCGCAAGGUUAAAACUCAAAGGAAUUGACGGGGACCCGCACAAGCGGUGGAGCAUGUUGUUUAAUUCGAAGCAACGCGAAGAACCUUACCCACUCUUGACAUCCUGGUCGGGACUUUCAGAGAUGAUUGUCUUCGGUUCGGCCGGACCAGUGACAGGUGCUGCAUGGCUGUCGUCAGCUCGUGUUG
RNAcentral lists this ribosomal RNA (296 nucleotides) under uncultured bacterium. RNAcentral describes it as "partial 16S ribosomal RNA". It matches the Rfam family "Bacterial small subunit ribosomal RNA", at positions 775 to 1067 of the family's 1533-position model. The record is from RNAcentral.